CUUAGAGAGCUUGCUUUUUAAGCUUAGUGGCGAACGGGUGAGUAACGCGUGAGUAACCUGCCCUGGAGUGGGGGACAACAGUUGGAAACGACUGCUAAUACCGCAUAAGCCCACGGCUCGGCAUCGAGCAGGGGGAAAAGGAGCAAUCCGCUUUGAGAUGGCCUCGCGUCCGAUUAGCUAGUUGGUGAGGUAACGGCCCACCAAGGCGACGAUCAGUAGCCGGUCUGAGAGGAUGAACGGCCACACUGGAACUGAGACACGGUCCAGACUCC
RNAcentral lists this ribosomal RNA (272 nucleotides) under uncultured Faecalibacterium sp. RNAcentral's name for it is "partial 16S ribosomal RNA". It matches the Rfam family "Bacterial small subunit ribosomal RNA", at positions 70 to 339 of the family's 1533-position model. Lineage: Bacteria; Bacillati; Bacillota; Clostridia; Eubacteriales; Oscillospiraceae. The record is from RNAcentral.